CUCUCUCUCUCUCUCUUGUAUGCUCUCAUCUUUCUUCGCAGACAUACCACCAUUCCUCUGCUUCCCCAGCAGAACAUGAAAAUAGCUCUCCGCUCACUAUAAAUCCCCCAAGCAGCUAAAGCCUCCCAUCUUCUACUCUUCUCAAUGGCUGCACCAUUAUGCGACUCGCCAUUAGUCAACCGCUUUCCCUCCGUUUCUUCUUUCCUUCCCAAGUCUUUCCUUGCCAACGAAAAUUACCGUUGGGAGACUCAUCUUCGUUCCUCUUUUCUUGGUUCAAAAUCACCGCAAAUGUUCCGUUCUGCAGCUAAGACAUCGAAAUUCGGAAGUAAUAGAAGGCGGAGGAUGCUUGCAGUGGCUUCAUUCGGAGGUUUUCUGGGUGGGAUGUUUAAAGGGACGGAUACUGGGGAGUCCACGAGGCAGAAGUAUGCUCCAACUGUGACCCUUAUUAACGGAUUCGAAGCGGAGAUGUCUGCAUUGUCUGAUUCGGAAUUGAGAGAAAAGACUUCUGUGUUGAAGGAGCGUGCCCAAAUGGGUGAAUCGUUGGAUUCUCUUUUACCUGAAGCAUUUGCCGUGGUAAGGGAAGCUUCCAAGAGGGUCUCAGGGCUUCGUCCCUUUGAUGUGCAACUGAUAGGUGGCAUGGUUCUUCACAAAGGAGAAAUUGCUGAAAUGAGAACUGGAGAGGGAAAGACACUUGUUGCCAUUUUACCAGCUUAUUUGAAUGCUUUAAGUGGCAAAGGAGUUCAUGUUGUGACAGUCAAUGAUUAUUUGGCACGAAGAGAUUGUGAAUGGGUUGGUCAAGUUCCCCGUUUUCUUGGUUUGAAGGUUGGCCUGAUCCAACAAAAUAUGACAAGUGAACAAAGAAGGGAGAAUUAUUUGUGUGACAUCACAUACGUCACUAACAGCGAGCUUGGUUUUGAUUUCUUGAGAGAUAAUCUUGCCACGAGUGUUGAGGAGCUUGUCUUGAGAAGUUUCAAUUACUGUAUAAUUGAUGAAGUUGAUUCAAUCCUCAUUGAUGAAGCAAGAACUCCUCUCAUCAUAUCUGGACCCGCAGAGAAACCUAGUGAUCGAUAUUACAAGGCUGCAAAAAUAGCUGCAGCUUUUGAACGAGAUAUACAUUACACUGUGGAUGAGAAGCAGAAAACAGUUCUUCUCACUGAACAGGGUUAUGAGGAUGCUGAAGAAAUUUUGGAUGUAAAAGACUUGUAUGAUCCCCGAGAACAGUGGGCAUCAUAUGUUCUGAAUGCAAUAAAAGCAAAAGAGUUAUUUCUUAGAGAUGUUAAUUAUAUCAUACGUGGGAAGGAGGUGCUAAUUGUAGAUGAAUUUACUGGCCGAGUUAUGCAGGGGAGGAGAUGGAGUGAUGGACUCCACCAAGCAGUUGAAGCAAAAGAAGGUUUGCCCAUCCAAAAUGAAACUGUAACCCUGGCAUCUAUUAGUUACCAAAACUUCUUUCUCCAGUUUCCAAAACUUUGUGGAAUGACUGGCACUGCAGCCACUGAAAGCACAGAAUUUGAGAGUAUAUACAAACUUAAAGUUACAAUUGUGCCUACAAACAAGCUCAUGAUAAGAAAGGAUGAAUCCGAUGUAGUUUUCAGGGCAAGCACUGGAAAAUGGCGGGCAGUUGUGGUAGAGAUUUCUAGAAUGCACAAAACAGGUCGACCAGUGCUUGUUGGCACAACAAGUGUUGAGCAGAGCGAUGCACUGUCUGAACAGUUACGAGAAACUGGAAUUCCUCAUGAGGUUCUCAAUGCAAAACCGGAGAAUGUGGAGAGAGAAGCGGAGAUUGUAGCGCAGAGUGGACGCUUGGGAGCAGUUACAAUUGCUACAAAUAUGGCAGGUCGUGGAACUGAUAUUAUUCUUGGUGGAAAUGCAGAAUUUAUGGGAAGGUUGAAGCUACGUGAGAUGCUUAUGCCAAGAGUUGUUAAGCCAACUGAAGGAGGUUUUGUAUCAGUGAAGAAACUUCCUCCAAGGAAGACAUGGAAGGUCAAUCAAAGUUUGUUUCCAUGCAAGCUAACUAAUGAGAAUACUAACUUGGCUGAAGAAGCUAUCGAGCUGGCUGUAAAAUCUUGGGGCCAGAGAUCAUUGACUGAACUGGAAGCAGAGGAGCGCCUAUCUUACUCCUGUGAAAAGGGCCCUGCUCAAGAUGAAGUCAUAGCCAAGCUUCGGAUAGCCUAUCUAGAAAUUGUGAAAGAAUAUAAGGUCUAUACUGAGGAAGAAAAGAAGAAGGUUGUGUCAGCUGGUGGGCUACAUGUGGUUGGUACAGAAAGGCACGAGUCACGCAGAAUUGACAAUCAGGUUGAAUUCAUCAACAUUUUAUGUAAUUGUGUAAUUUGAACUGUGAACUCCAACUAACAGAUGCUUUGCUUCACAUUAUCAUUUGAAGAGGAAAGUUCCUCUCUCCCCUAUAUAUUAUCUUUUUCCCCCCUUUUCUUUUGUGUUUUUGUGUGAUGGGAUCAUGAGAAUAAUUUUAUUUAGAAUGUACCAAAACACAACUUGUAUGUUGCGUCUGCACAGCUUCGUGGUCGAAGUGGUCGCCAAGGGGAUCCUGGAAGUUCCCGCUUUUUCCUAAGUCUUGAAGAUAACAUUUUUAGAAUUUUCGGUGGUGACCGAAUUGAGGGAUUGAUGAGAGCUUUCAGAAUUGAAGACUUACCAAUUGAGUCCAAGAUGCUGACAAAAGCACUAGAUGAAGCUCAGAGGAAAGUGGAAAACUAUUUUUUUGAUAUUAGGAAGCAAUUAUUUGAGUAUGAUGAAGUCCUGAAUAGCCAAAGAGAUCGUGUGUAUACAGAGAGAAGACGAGCUCUUGAAUCGGACAAUCUCCAAAUGCUUAUCAUUGAAUAUGCUGAGUUGACAAUGGAUGACAUCUUAGAGGCAAAUAUUGGUUCUGAUGUGCCAAAGGAAAGUUGGGAUCUUGAAAAGCUCAUUUCAAAACUUCAACAGUACUGCUACCUGCUGAAUGAUUUGACCCCUGAUUUGCUAAGAAGUAAGUGUUCAAGCUAUGAGGAAUUGCAGAAUUACCUUCGUCUUCGAGGUCGCGAAGCAUAUUUGCAAAAAAGGGUUCGUACAUUAGUUUCACUGGCUCAAGAACAAUUUUCCUGUUUAUCAUGGAGCUCUACAUCUCAGUCCUUUUAGGGUUUGUUCUUUUAAAAGAGAGGGAAAUUCUGCUGCAUUAUGAUCAUAAUCAUACUAAUACAUCAAUUCAUGCUUGAACAAUGUAAGAUGAAUUCUGUUAAAGCAUCCCAUCGCAUAAAAACAACUCAUUGUUAUACCUGGCCCCUUUGGGAUGUCAUUUGUUGUCCUUGCUUGGCUAAACUUAAUGGAGCUUGGAUGUUUGUCCCCUAGGAAAGUUCCAACAUUUCUUUAAUACCUAACAAUGUGUUUAGUGCUGAAUUGCUGCAAUGUGAUAUGCAUAGAACUUGGCAUUGCACAUUCCAUAAUAUGCAUGAUUUGUACUUCGGGGUUUCCCACCUUCCUGAAAAAAAAUUUAUCAAUUAUGGAAAAAGAAAAAGAAAAAACAGGUCCUGUGCCCUAAUUUGGUAUCAUUAGUGUCGUAUUCCCCUUUUCUCCAGGAAGUUUUGAUUUUUCCCUUCUCUGUUUAAAUUGUUUUUAAGGAUAUUGUGGAGCAAGAAGCGCCAGGCUUGAUGACUGAAGCCGAGAGAUUCUUAAUUUUGAGCAAUAUUGAUCGCUUGUGGAAGGAGCAUUUGCAGGCAAUCAAGUUUGUUCAGCAAGCCGUAGGAUUGCGCGGAUAUGCACAACGUGAUCCACUUAUCGAGUAUAAGCUAGAAGGCUAUAAUCUAUUCUUGGAGAUGAUGGCUCAGAUAAGAAGAAAUGUUAUAUACUCCAUAUAUCAGUUUAAACCUGUACUGGUAAAGAAGGAUCAGGAGCAAAGCCCGAAUGAGAAGAUGGCCAAACUUGUCACAAAUGGUAGAGGUGGUCAGAAAAAUGCUGAUCCUGUCGAUACCGCCGAGUCUUCUUCAGCUGCAAGCCCCCAGGCUAGCGCAUGAGGCUCACAUCAUGGAAGAAUUUCUUCUAAAUUUGUAAGGGAUGGAAACAAUACAGAAAAUCAUCUUGUUCUUUCAAAUAGUAAAUAGCGAUCAUCUGUCAUUUACCUUGGCUGCGCCUAAGGAGAUUAAAACGGAAAAAGAAACCAAGAGGGUCUAUUUACCUAGGGUCUAUUUACCUGUAUCAUAGAGGAACCACACCAUUAAAAUUAGGAAAGAUGGAGGAAUUGUAUCGUUACCAUAGGGCUAAAUUAUGUGUUAUUUUUUCAAUCACAAUAAGAAAUCGGAAAUAUGUCAUGUGCCCCUCUCUUAUCCAACAGUUAUUCCUAUCCUUUAUGAUUGAUAACCAUUCAUUUUGUCAUUUCUGGUG
This 4365-nucleotide unclassified non-coding RNA is filed under the name Hevea brasiliensis (rubber tree). The record is from RNAcentral. Lineage: Eukaryota; Viridiplantae; Streptophyta; Magnoliopsida; Malpighiales; Euphorbiaceae.